CUUUAAGGAUCCUGAAGGAACGUUGAAGACGACGACGUUGAUAGGCUGGGUGUGUAAGCGCAGCGAUGCGUUGAGCUAACCGGUACUAAUGAACCGUGAGGCUUAACCUUACAACGCCGAAGGUGUUU
Molecule: ribosomal RNA, 128 nt
Filed under: Escherichia coli
Lineage: Bacteria; Pseudomonadati; Pseudomonadota; Gammaproteobacteria; Enterobacterales; Enterobacteriaceae
Description: partial 23S ribosomal RNA
Rfam family: Bacterial large subunit ribosomal RNA (bases 1-110)
Source: RNAcentral